UGUACCCAGAGUGAGGAAUAACUGCCCGAAAGGGUGGCUAAUACCGCAUACGGUCUUCGGAUUAAAGCCUUCGGGCGCUUUGGGAACAGCUUGCGUACGAUUAGAUAGUUGGUGAGGUAAAGGCUCACCAAGUCAACGAUCGUUAACUGGUCUGAGAGGAUGAUCAGUCAGACUGGAACUGAGAUACGGUCCAGACUCCUACGGGAGGCAGCAGUGAGGAAUCUUCCACAAUGGGGGCAACCCUGAUGGAGCAACGCCGCGUGCAGGAUGAAGGCCUUCGGGUCGUAAACUGCUUUUAUAGGUGAAUAAUAUGAAUGUAGCUUAUGAAUAAGCACCGGCUAACUACGUGCCAGCAGCCGCGGUCAUACGUAGGGUGCAAGCAUUAUCCGGAGUGACUGGGCGUAAAGAGUUGCGUAGGUGGUUUGUCAAGUGAAUAGUGAAAUCUGGUGGCUCAACCACACAGACUAUUAUUCAAACUGGCAAACUCGAGAAUAGCAGAGGUAACUGGAAUUUCUAGUGUAGGAGUGAAAUCCGUAGAUAUUAGAAGGAACACCAAUGGCGUAGGCAGGUUACUG
RNAcentral lists this ribosomal RNA (575 nucleotides) under uncultured bacterium. RNAcentral's name for it is "bacterial SSU rRNA". It matches the Rfam family "Bacterial small subunit ribosomal RNA", at positions 125 to 731 of the family's 1533-position model. The record is from RNAcentral.